UCCAUUUCUACUAAGAAAGCCUUUGCCAAUUUCCUUUGAAAAUUGAAACAUACAUCUUUACUUUCUUCUCUUUAGAUUCAUUGGCUGAGUUAAAACAGAAGCACUUUUUUUUAUUUUUUAAAUUUCGGGGUCAAGGAUUUUAUAUGCAGGUGAAAAACCACUUUUAACUUAAAAAUAUUCUUUUUCCGCAAAAAUAACGGAAAACGCUAGUGUUUUAAAGUUAAAUAUGCGAUUAAAAAACCUUUCUACCCAAAUAUUGUUUAUUUUUAUUUUGGAAUUUAAUUUAUUGUUUUUUUGUCUAUUUUUAGAAGUUGGUUAAAAGAAUUUUAAACUCGACAUCGUCAAAGUCAUCGAGAUUUUGUGUCAUAUUUUUAAGACCUAAAACCAAAUAACUGAAUAUUAACUCAGCUAAUGAAUCAAAGAGAAGAAAGAAAUGAAUAAAUAAUAGACAGUCUCUUUUGUUUUAUUUUGUUUAUUUUAAAGUUUUAAAGGAUGAUAAGCAGUCUAGGUGUUCACAGUUGAGCUGUUCGCAAGCUUCAAUAGCAGCAGCCAGGAGGUUCGAUGAAUGUUAAGGAACUGCUGCAACAAUUAGGUUGUUAAUAAGUUAUUGAGUUAGUUGGUUCAGGUUGUUAUUCAUCUUCUUUGUUAAAACUUAGUAUAAAUACUAUGGUUGUAGGUUCUUCAUGUUGAACUUAGUGAAGAAAUCAUUCUUUCUUUCUUCUCUUUGA
Long non-coding RNA from Gossypium raimondii (Peruvian cotton), 728 nucleotides. RefSeq lists it as uncharacterized. The record is from RefSeq and is a predicted model, not a curated record. The transcript is spliced from 2 exons. Lineage: Eukaryota; Viridiplantae; Streptophyta; Magnoliopsida; Malvales; Malvaceae.